This is a non-coding RNA of Mauremys mutica (yellowpond turtle), 572 nucleotides long. The record is from the annotation of a RefSeq genome assembly. Lineage: Eukaryota; Metazoa; Chordata; Testudines; Geoemydidae.
CUGCUUAAAGCCGGCGGUUCCCCUUUGGGUUGGGAACCUGCAGGCAGCUCCCGGUGUCUGCAGCGACCGGCCCUACCCUCUAGAGAACUUUUUCCAGCAAACACACAUGAUGUUUUGGCUGCAUUUCCUUUUCAUUGUGACGGCUUUCCAAGGGGCUCGGGCUCAGGCUCGGCUGGUGGAGUCCGGAGGGGACAUUAAGAAGCCGGGACAAUCUCUGCGCCUCACCUGUAAAGGCUCCGGAUUUGAUUUCAGCCAGGCCGGGAUGCACUGGGUCCGACAAGCUCCCGGGAAGGGACUGGAGUGGGUCUCUGUGAUUUUCUUCGAUGGGAGUAAGGAAUAUUACGCCGCUUCUGUCAAAGGGCGAUUCACCACCUCCAGGGACAACUCCCAGAACCUGGCCUAUUUAGACAUGAGCAGCCUGAAGCCAGAGGACACCGCCCGGUAUUACUGUGCAGCGUCACAGUGCGUGAAAACCGGUCUGAGCUGAGACAAAAACCCUCCCUCUGCAACGGCGUGAGGCCGCUGCUCUGGGUGGCGCUCAGGGUCUGCGAGUUACAAUGAGCCCGGUGAGG